UGGGGAAUAUUGCACAAUGGGCGAAAGCCUGAUGCAGCAACGCCGCGUGAGUGAUGAAGGCCUUCGGGUUGUAAAGCUCUGUCUUCUGGGACGAUAAUGACGGUACCAGAGGAGGAAGCCACGGCUAACUACGUGCCAGCAGCCGCGGUAAUACGUAGGUGGCAAGCGUUGUCCGGAUUUACUGGGCGUAAAGGAUGCGUAGGCGGAUACUUAAGUCAGAUGUGAAAAUCCCGGGCUUAACUUGGGAACUGCAUUUGAAACUGGGUAUUUAGAGUGCGGGAGAGGAAAGUGGAAUUCCUAGCGUAGCGGUGAAAUGCGUAGAGAUUAGGAAGAACACCAGUGGCGAAGGCGACUUUCUGGACCGUAACUGACGCUGAGGCAUGAAAGCGUGGGGAGCAAACAG
RNAcentral lists this ribosomal RNA (403 nucleotides) under uncultured bacterium. Its description in RNAcentral is "bacterial SSU rRNA". It matches the Rfam family "Bacterial small subunit ribosomal RNA", at positions 355 to 775 of the family's 1533-position model. The record is from RNAcentral.